This 623-nucleotide ribosomal RNA is filed under the name Geomydoecus craigi. Its description in RNAcentral is "SSU rRNA". It matches the Rfam family "Eukaryotic small subunit ribosomal RNA", at positions 21 to 616 of the family's 1831-position model. The record is from RNAcentral. Lineage: Eukaryota; Metazoa; Arthropoda; Insecta; Psocodea; Trichodectidae.
UAGUCAUAUGCUUGUCUCAAAGAUUAAGCCAUGCAGGUCUCAGUGCAAGCCGAAUUAAGGUGAAACCGCGAAAAGCUCAUUAAAUCAGCUAUGGUUCCUUAGAUGGUACGUACAGUUACUUGGAUAACUGUGGCAAUUCUAGAGCUAAUACAUGCAAACCGAGUUCCGACCGCUUAGCAGGCGGAAGGAAUGCUUUUAUUAGAUCAAAACCAAUCGGACUCUACACUGAUGGGUUCGUUUAAGCCUUGGUGACUCUGAAUAACUUUGUGCUGAUCGCACGGUCCCGCACCGGCGACGCAUCUUUCAAAUGUCUGACUUAUCAACUUUCGAUGGUAAGCUCUGCGCCUACCAUGGUCGUAACGGGUAACGGGGAAUCAGGGUUCGAUUCCGGAGAGGGAGCCUGAGAAACGGCUACCACAUCCAAGGAAGGCAGCAGGCGCGCAAAUUACCCACUCCCGGCACGGGGAGGUAGUGACGAAAAAUAACGAUGCAGAACUCUUUCCGAGGCUCUGCAAUCGGAAUGAGAACACUCUAAAUCAUUUAACGAGUAUCCAUUGGAGGGCAAGUCUGGUGCCAGCAGCCGCGGUAAUUCCAGCUCCAAUAGCGUAUAUUAAAGUUGUUGC